RNAcentral lists this ribosomal RNA (227 nucleotides) under uncultured bacterium. RNAcentral's name for it is "partial 16S ribosomal RNA". It matches the Rfam family "Bacterial small subunit ribosomal RNA", at positions 383 to 607 of the family's 1533-position model. The record is from RNAcentral.
CUGAACCAGCCAAGUAGCGUGAAGGAUGACUGCCCUAUGGGUUGUAAACUUCUUUUAUACGGGAAUAAAGUGAGCCACGUGUGGCUUUUUGUAUGUACCAUAUGAAUAAGGAUCGGCUAACUCCGUGCCAGCAGCCGCGGUAAUACGGAGGAUCCGAGCGUUAUCCGGAUUUAUUGGGUUUAAAGGGAGCGUAGGCGGGUUGUUAAGUCAGUUGUGAAAGUUUGCGG